UAGUCCACGCCCUAAACGAUGCUUACUCGACGUGUGGCUGUAUGGCUGCGCGUCCAAGGGAAACCGUUAAGUAAGCCACCUGGGGAGUACGUUGGCAACAAUGAAACUCAAAGGAAUUGACGGGGUCCGCACAAGCGGUGGAGCAUGUGGUUUAAUUCGAUGAUACGCGAGGAACCUUACCUGGGCUCGAAUGGUACUGGACCAUUGAUGAAAGUCGAUUUUCUCUUCGGAGACUAGUAUCAAGGUGCUGCAUGGUUGUCGUCAGCUCGUGCCGUGAGGUGUUGGGUUAAGUCCCGCAACGAGCGCAACCCUUAUCCUUAGUUGCCAGCACAUAAUGGUGGGGACUCUAGGGAGACUGCCGGCGCAAGCCGUGAGGAAGGUGGGGAUGACGUCAAAUCAUCAUGGGCCUUUAUGCCCAGGGGCUACACACGUGCUACAAUGGUGCAAACAGAGGGGUAGCCAAGCCGCGAGGGUGGGAGCCAAUCCCAGAAAUUGCAUCCCAGUUC
RNAcentral lists this ribosomal RNA (506 nucleotides) under uncultured bacterium. RNAcentral describes it as "bacterial SSU rRNA". It matches the Rfam family "Bacterial small subunit ribosomal RNA", at positions 791 to 1294 of the family's 1533-position model. The record is from RNAcentral.